This 219-nucleotide unclassified non-coding RNA is filed under the name Hevea brasiliensis (rubber tree). Lineage: Eukaryota; Viridiplantae; Streptophyta; Magnoliopsida; Malpighiales; Euphorbiaceae. The record is from RNAcentral.
UUUUGUAGUUUUGUUUCUUUAUGGUCUCUUCCAUUUGUUAACCGUGUAUGCACACACUUCUUUUCCCACCCUUGUGCUAUCCAGGUGCAAAAGAGGCUCACUCGGUUUCUCCACAUUUUGCACAAUUGAUGUAUUUUAGCUUGAUUUCUGUGCUGUUUGUGACUCCCAUGCACUUCACAAUUGGUCAGGCUGCAGCACUGGCCCGAUCCUUCUGGAAGA